This 1041-nucleotide long non-coding RNA is filed under the name Suricata suricatta (meerkat). RNAcentral describes it as "lncRNA (ENSSSUG00005021995.1)". The record is from RNAcentral. Lineage: Eukaryota; Metazoa; Chordata; Mammalia; Carnivora; Herpestidae.
AUGGCAGGCGGUCUGUGCGCCCACUACCGCUGCGGCACUGGCUGGGGUGGCUGGAAUCGAGGCCGCCCCCCAACCCCCGAACAUUUCCUCAGAUGCUCCUUUGCUGAACUUGGCCUCUGUUCCAGAGGUGCUGUUUGGGCUUGGAUCAACACCAGCGGCAGUGCUGACAACGGCGCUCAGAGCCGCGGGCCUGUGUGGGCACCGGGGACACGGGAGGCCUGGGUGUGCAGGCCUAUGGCUUCCUCGGCCAUUACUGGGCGCAUCCCCGUUUGCGGAGGGCAGGGUGAGCUGCAAACCGUUCUGGAAGUGAGAGCUGGUGGGCAGGAGAAAGCAGCCCACCGUCCCUUGGGCAUGGAGGCGGCAGGCUGGCAGGCAGCCAACCACAGGCAGGUGAGGCCAGAGCCCUGGUCGUGGACACAGAGGCCCUUCCGAGGAGGGCCAUCCCUGGGGGUCAGGAGGGGCUCGCCCUUCGCAGGACAUGAAGCAGCACCCUCACACGGUGCCCCCUUCCAAAGAAACUGCUGGCUGGUCACCUGUUGGUGGCUUUCUCUGGAGGAACGUGGCGCCCUCUGGCCAAGGAUCCCCCAGAAGCCCCGCAGCGGCCCGGGUGGAGGCACCCCCUCCGGGGGCGGCCGGGCACACGGUGCUCCCCGGGCCUGGACUCCAUCGCGUGCUGCUGUGACAGCGGUCAUGAUGUGGGGGUCUUGGGGUGCUAGGGAUACUGUCUGGGGAGAGCUUCUGGGGGGCGGGGAAUGUGUGCUGCCCCCAGAGCUGGGCCUGCAUUUUACACCUCAUUUAAAAACACGACCCACAAGCCAGUCACAGAGAACACACCUCGGGCUUCUGGGCACUGCCUCGCCCCCAGGCCCCGGACGUCUGGGCAAACACGGUGGCCCCCGCCCGGAAGCCUCUCUGUGGAGCGAGGUCUGGGUAUACAGGCUGGUGUCUACCGCCCCGAGGCUGCCCGCGUCUGACUCUCUGGGGAAGAUGGGCCAGAGGUCAGGGCGGUGGGCGAGGCUGCGGAGGGCACAGGUCACUUGA